Molecule: long non-coding RNA, 6931 nt
Organism: Neofelis nebulosa (Clouded leopard)
Lineage: Eukaryota; Metazoa; Chordata; Mammalia; Carnivora; Felidae
Exons: 2
Source: RefSeq, a predicted model, not a curated record
GAUCAGCUUGAUUCCCAGACAAUAUGAUCUGCCUGAAUUGGGGCAACCCUCCAGCAGGCUGGGAGGGAGGGACGAUCCCGGGAUUCGGGGCUUUGUAGGGUUUGAGCCCCCAGACGAGGUCGGUCCCUGCUUUGCCUGGAAAAGGCUGGCUUGACUGCUGAACUCUCCCAGUGGAGACAAGUAGGGUCUAAAAUGAAGGAAGAUAUCCUGUGCUGCAUGGAUCCGGCUCACCAAGCUAAGCUGCCUGCUCCUUGCUGGAGCUUCAGAAUGAAAUUUAGAAGGUCGAAAGAAAUCAUAUUGCUGUUUUCAAAGGAAAAGAGAUGCCUGCAAAAGGUAUGAUGGGGUGAUGGCGACGGCCUAGAUUAGACCAAGAUCAGAAUCCUGGUGCUAGCACUGAUUGUCAGCGUGACCUCAGUUUCAGCAAGAUCUGUAACUUUGCCGUCUCUCUACCCUGCUGGCAGAGUGAGGACAGGAGCACUUGCCUGAUGGGGUUCUCCUGGCAAGGGCUGAAUUAGUGACGCGUGUUAAGUACGUGGUUAAGGCCUCGUGCUCGGUAGCUAACGCUCAACGUAAUUUGCUUCCCAUCAUCCAUAGGAGCAAGGCUCAGAUGAGCAAGAUUAUUUGUAUUUCUAGACGAUUCUUUUACAAGCCGACCGUCUUCCAGUUUAUAGGGUUUGCACAUCUGAACUGUUUCAUCACGUUUGCAUAAAGGGAGUCAAACUACUCUCUCAGAUCUCUUCUCGCCCCCUAUCCUCAGAUCUAGCCUUACUGUCUGCAGAAAUGAUGUUUCUCCCUGAAGCAGGCCGUCAAAAUGAUAGGGUACAAUUGGAAAGAAUAUCCGAGAUGGCUGGCAGGGGUGAGGAGGGUGGGGGCAAGAUCGGCAGCAAGCGUAAGUGGGGCAGGCGGAUUGGCUGUUCCGAUCCUGGUUUUCCAGACGCUCUGCGUCGUGGGAGGGCUGUGCUUUGAUGCUGGAAGGGGUCUGAGGCAUGGGGUUUGGCAGCCGCAUUUCAUGGGUGGGGAGACUGAGGCCCAGAAAGGGGCAGUGACUCGCCUGAGGUCACACAGCCAGUUAGUGAGGAAGCCAGUGACAGGCGCCGGCCGGCUCCUCCUUCCUGCUUCUGAGUUCUUUCUAGUUCAGCUGGGAGUGACCUUUGGGACCCUAGAGAGGAUUUCACCCUACCUGGGAAGAGGUGGACCACUGCCAUUUGGCCAGAGCCUUGCUCCCCCCCCACAUUCCCAGAGAGACGAUGUGCCGUUGCCCCAAAACCUCUCUCUGGAAACAGUGGCAGUUCAGAACCAAUCUACAAAAACAAUAAGAGCUAUCAUUUCUGAGGGUUGAAUUCCAGGCACUUUAUUUAUAGUUUUCUAACCCUUUGAGGUAGGUGUUACUAUGAUUCUCAUUUUGCAGAGGAGGAGACUGAGGCUUAACUGUUAAGUGGCCUCCCCAAAGUCACCCAGCUAGCAAGUCAGAGGUAGGGUUCGAACCACGGUUCAUUUUCACUUAUGCUCUUUUCCUGUGGCAGCACCCCCCCGCUAUUAGACUCUGGCUUACGCUAGAAGUCUCCAGAAGGUGACACGGGGAGAGACGGAUCACUCACCUGGGGUCCAGCACUAGCCAAGUUUGGUAGGCGCCCGCCAGGAGGUGUGCCGGACCCUCACCCUGCGCCAUGAUGUUCUGUCCCCUUCCUGUCCCUCCUCCCACCUGUGUCUCCUGCCGAGGACAGAUCGGUGGCUAGGGACCCGGGCUCCUCUUCACACACUCAUAGCCUCUAGUAACUAAGUAUAUAUAUAUUAAGAUUAACAGAAAAUGUACCUAACAGAAAAUGCAAAGCACAGUGGCUUAAGUGCAUAAAGGUGUCCCUCUGAUGUGCAAGAGGUCCUGGUAUGGUAGCUUCACCAUCAUCUCGGGCUCAGGCUGUGUCCCUCCGCCUGCUCCGCCAUUCCCCACAUUUGGCUCCUGUCCUCAGUGUUGCAGAAUGCCUGCUGCAGCUCCAGCCAUCGUGUCCACAUUCCAGGUAGCAGGAAGCAGGAAGAGGGCACAGCGAAAGCGUCUUUCUCUAGUUGUCUCUUCUCCCUUCCAGAGAACCUUUCCAGAAUUCCUUUCCUAGGAGCUUCUCUUGCUUCACUGGCCGGAACACAGCCGUGUGGCCACACCAGGCUGUGGGACAGGACGGGAAGCAGGUUCUGUAACUGGGCGCAUCACUGCCUCAAGACCGUGGACGCUUGUGAGUGAGGCAGAAUGGGUGCCGGGGAACCAGACUCUGCCACAGCACAACUGGGUCACCUCGCCCACUUGCCAAAGGGCGGAUGGCGGAGGGAGGUGGCGUUUUGAGUGAGAGAAAACUCAAGCCACCUUUGGCGAGAAUCUUAGAUGCGCUCUGAGAUAACUGGAAAUGCCACAGACCUAGGGUUGCAACCCCUGUGCUUUCUGGGGCUGUUUGUUCUGGGGACGGCCACCAUGAUGGAAUCAAUGGUACUUCACACCUGUCAGCGGCUUGUCCCACACGGUCCCUUUUCGGAGCGUGGAUAAGUUGUAUUUCUCUGGAUGUCUGCUCCUCGUGACACAUUUAUCCUGUGGGUCUCCCGAGGUGGAUUGGAGGAAUGGGUUUCUUGGUCUGCAGGGUGCUGACGAUCACCGGGCUCUGGAAACGAACACAGACGUCACUGUGCCAGCUCUGUCUACGCACCAGGCACUAUACACGUGGCAGGUCCCACCAUCCUGACAACAGACCGACAGCCAGGGGGACUCUGAUCCCAUUUUACAGAUGAAACGUGAAGGCUCAGAGAGGCUAAGCGGCUUGCCCGAGAUCACACAGCUGGUGCUAUGGACUGAGUGUUUAUGUCCCCCCGACCGCCCAACGCCGGCCCAAAUGUAUAUGCUGCAGCCCUAAUCCCCAGUGUGGUGGUGUUUGCGGGGUGGGCAUUUCAGGGGGUAAUCAGGUUUGGAUGCGGCCGUGAGGGUAGAGCUCCCAUGAUGGGACUGGCGCCCUCGUGAAGGGGCGAAAGGCGCCGAGCUUUCUCUCCCGCUCUGCCGUCAGAGGACGCGGUGAGAAGGCAGCCGUCGACAAUCCAGGAAGAGAGGCUUCACCAGAAACCAGCCGUGUUGGUGCCCUGACCUCAGACUUCAGCCUCCAGAACCGCGAGGACCUGAUGUCUGCUGUUUAAGCCACCAGGCUGUGGUGUUUCUGUUAUGGUGGCCGAGCUAAGACAGCUGGUAACUACCGAGAGCCCAAGGUUGUUCUUUCUCCCGCCCUCUGCCCCGACACUGGGCGCAUUUCCCAAACUCACCCUCACUCCCCUUGUGGGUCCUGACUCCUAUGACCGCGGGGACAUCACAGAGACCUCCGGGCACGGGCUGUGGCCUAGAGGUCCUUCUUGUCUCCCUUCCUCCUCUUUUCUCCUCCGCUCCUGUCGUCUUAGAAAGACCCCUGUGGGAGUCCAGCCCCAUCACCUGGCCCCCAUGUGGGCCCGGGUCAGCCAUGUCUCCUUUCUGGGCCCCACGUGGCCCCGGCCCGGGGCCCAGCCCCCUUCCCCAAUCUGCACUCACGCGCAGCCCUGUGGAAAUGGUGGUGCUCCCCACAUUAGGACCCACGUGUCUGCUGGCUGGGACCAAGGGUCAUAAAUAGGAAUAAAACUUAGGCUGUCCUUGUCCCCAUCUCGGUGAGUGAAGCCCCCGAAUCUGAGGACAAAACCAGAAGCCCUCUUCUUUGAGCCCCAAGGGACAGGGAGGGCUGCGUGUGCGGCUGAGGCCCUGCUCUCCCCCCCACCUCCCCGACCCCCCGGGUGUCACAGGCUUCCAUAUACAUAAUCUAAAUAUAUGCUUUGGAAAUUGAAAACGUUCACAUAUAGAAUGCGGCUGUGGGGAAGGAAUGCUCUCUUGGAACAUGUCUCUUUAAAGACAGAAUGUGCCCAAGUGUUUUCCUGCCCUUAAGGAGACACUUGAACAUGGCAGCAGAUGUAAAAUGGAAAUUGAAGUGUCUCUCCCAGGCCACCGUACGUGGAGAAAACAGCACAAUCUAUUCUAAGCGCUCAUUAAUAGCUGGUCUCUGAGGGCCCCGGCAGCAGCCAGAGGAUUUUACUCAUUAAAAAGGUGACGAGGUAGAGUUUUGUGCCUUCCCUGCUCGUCACUGCGUGAUCCUGGUGUUCAGAUGUCGCUGGCGGACCCCAGAUGAGUGCCCCCGGCUUGCGGGCAUGGGUGACGAUGUUCUGAAAGGCUUGAAAGCAUCCCCCACUCGCUGAUGGGGCCACAAGCCCUUGCUGUUUAUCAAGUGGAUUCGUCUCUCUUCCGAGGCGGGCCCACGAUGGCAUUGUCUCGAGAAGGAAGCAGAGAGAAGAGCUUUAGCUCAUCACCUAAUAAAAGAUCAUUGGUGAUUCCCAACACGGUCCUCCAGAUGGCACCGCGAAGGACCCGGAGCCUCCAGGCGUGGUCUGGGGCAGGGGCCUGGGGUCCUCAGUGAAGUCUGGAAGGGGCCGGACCCUUGGCAGUCGAAGGCACUGGCUGACGGACAUCUCAGCCGUGCCCACUUGGACAGGGGCUGCUGAUUUUAGAGAAAGGGGGUUCUUGGCUCAUUUUUUACCCCUACUUUUUAUUUGUUCUUUUUUAAAAGUUUAUUUAUUUUGAGAGAGAGAGAGAGAGUACGUGCCUGCACAAGCAGGGGAGGGCCAGAGAGAGAGGGAGGGAGAGAAUCCCAAACAGGCACCACACGGUCACUGCAGAGCCCCACGCGGGGCUCAAACCCACGAACCGUGAGAUCAUGACCUGAGCCAAAACCGAGAGCCGUUCGCUUGACUGAGCCCCCAGGCGCCUCAAUUUGUUCUGUUUUGGGUCUCCCACUGUUCGGAUCAGUGUUUCGUCCUCUCCUCCCUCCCGUGUGAGGGGAGCGACAUCCAGUUGUCCCCACAGGCACAUAGGGAGGGCCAGUUUCCCAGGCAUCCUGAGAACUGCCUUUCUGCCCCAAAACCUCUCAGGUGGAGGCAGGAAUCCUCCCUGGCCUCCGGCAUCUUCCACGUGCACCCUCUUUCCUGUUCUGGACUUUCGCUGUUGUUUUCCUUGACUGUCGCUUCCCCUGCCCUUUCCGCAACCAGCUCUGAGGUCACCUCCUCUGAGAGGCCUUUCUUGAUGUGUCCUUCCCCCUCCCCCUCUGCUCAUUGUUAUACCGGCACAGUUUGCAAUGAGCUUGUUCACUUGGUAGCUCCCUUGCUUAUUGUCGCCUCCCCACUCUACUCAACUCGGGGGUUGGGUACAGCGGGGCCGGGGGGAGGAGACACGAACCUUCCUGGUCUUGUUUACCGGACCCCCGGUGCUCAGCUCGGUGUCUGACCCGAAAGGUACUUGAUUUAUUGAAUGGGCGAACAAACGAAGGAACGCAUGAGGGGUUCUCUGAUCCCAAAGACUGACUCUGGGUCACCCUCGGCCAACAGCAGCCCUUGGGGGAUUUUUUCACUUGUGACCAUUAGUAUCUUCUGGGCUGUGGCCUCCAGCUUUCACCGUGCUCCCUGCAGAAAUGCUGGAGGGCCUGUCCCGCCUCACAUAGUGAGUCAGGGUCACCGCAAGGGCACAGAGCCGAGGAGAUUACAAGAUCAUGGCCUCGAGUUCCUAUACGGACCCUUUUUUCUUUUUUCUUCCUUUUUUUUUUUUUUUGAUGAUGCAGUAUCGAUACUGUGUCGAGAAAUACAUAAAUUGUUACCCGCUGUUAGCAGCUAGAAAAUGGACUAGUUAUGAAAUACCAACAAUCACUUGGGCUGUUUAAAUUCGACUUCAAAACAAGCUCAGUGUUAAUAAAAUGGGCUCAGGGUGGGAGCAGGUGGGGAGACAGGAGGAAUAUUCUGCAAUUUUUUUUUUUUUUUUUUUUUAAACACGGAAGCCACCUGGCUCACCUCUGAGAGGACUUGGGCUGCCCUGCAGAGGUGUGUCUGUUACAACUUGAAGAGCUGAUGAGAAAUCCCAGGGAAAGGGAAAGGAGGCAGCCACAUCCGUUCCACGGAAGGCUCUGCACCAUCCAUGUGGCUCUGAGUUUCUGAGAAGCCAAGGCAGAGAGAGAAGAAGGACAAGCAGUUAGGAGGUCUGCAGGGAGUGCAGGGCCGGGGGCUUUGGAGGGAAGAAAACCAAGAGGGAAGAGUGGGAAUAACCUUGACUCUUGUUUCAGAGAAGGAGUUCCAGUGACUCCUUCAAAGAGCAAACAGCUGUCACUCGUGGUCUCAAGGGACUUCUCCCUCCCUGGCAGAGCUGUGUGUGCAUCUUGGUGUUUUCUGCACCUGCUGGGACAGUCAUCACAAGUCCCUCCCAUGAGGGAAUGAAUUAACGAUUGAACAAGUGAGGGCCACGACUUCCAUGGUCCAAAUCCCAUCCGUCCUUCAGCUGCUGUUCAGGGUCACCUACUCCGGGAAGCCCUCCCUGAAUUCUCCUGCCCUUCCUUAUCGAGACUCCUUCAGUGCUGGAUGGGUGACCGGCAUGUAAAUGCUUUCCCUACGUGCUAAGAAUUGGAAGGCCUUUCUUGUGUUUUCUGGUUGUUCCUCAUUCGAGCUGGACCACAAACUCAUGUGUUCACCACACACUCUUCUAGCUCCUCCCAUUGGCUCCACACUGUGCCAGACUCAAGGAAUUCAAGAGGAAACUGGACAGAUAAGGAGCUUACAGGCUAGUGUUGGGUUUGAAAAACUGCUGCCCGUGGACCAAACCCGACGGCCACCUGGGUUUUGUAAGUAAAGCUUUAUCGGUGGGGCGCCUGGGUGGCUCAGUCGGUGAAGCUUCCGGCUUCGGCUCAGGUCACGAUCCCGCGGUCCGUGAGUUCGAGCCCCGUGACGGGCUCUGUGCUGACAGCUCAGAGCCUGGAGCCUGUUUCGGACUCUGUGUCUCCCUCUCUCUCUGCUCCUCCCCCGCUCGUGCUCUGUCUUUCUCUCUCUCAAAAAUAAAUAAACAUUAAAAAAUUUU